AAACCUUGAGCCUGCCAUGUCUGAUCCCCAAUGUUGUUCUCUUCAGGGCCCUCCCGGUCAACCCGGAUACCCUGGUGCAAUGGGCCCCCCCGGGCUGCACGCAUGAUUCUAACACAGCCCUUGAGCUCUCUUUGUUCGGACCAGUUCAGUCUGUCUCGCUGUUGCACCUUUUUCCUAUCAGCAUUUGUUGUUAUCGGGGAUUGUGACAUUUGAUGCACUUUCACUGGCUUCCUCCAGCUGAGCUCAUCAACAGGGUAAAUUCAUAGGCCCAACAGUGCUGAGAGCGGGGGGGCCUGGGCAGUACAUGCCGCUGGGAGUGGAGACCCCUGGCGGAGUGGUGAGACAGCCGAGCGCGGCCUGCCAGGGCAAGCCGGGCUGCCGUGUUGGGAAGGAGGGUACGAUCAAGCAGUGCAGAGGGGAGGGACUCUGCUGUGCUGAUCUGGAGGGUGAGCCUGGGGGUCACGGGCCCUGGGGGUCACUAGAACUUGCCACACCCCUGCCAAGAAAGUGUGAGGUGCAGAUUAGCAGAGGAAGGUCCCACAGGCCCACACGUUAGCCACCACCAAGAUGGUUCCCCUCUCCCACCGUCAGCUACCUCCCCACCGGUUACCAGCCCCCACCCGCUGCCCCUGCAGCUGCUGUGCAAAGCUCAUCUCAUUCCCCCGCCUUCUUACCCAGGGCAUCAAAGGAGAACGAGGCUAUUUGGGACCCCCCGGAGAGAAAGGGGAAUCGGGCCCCCCUGGUUCCGAUGGCGUCCCAGGUCCUACGGGGCCAGCGGGUCCGAGAGGAGAGCGCGGAACUCAGGGCAACUCUGGGGAGAAAGGAGAUCAG
This 831-nucleotide long non-coding RNA is filed under the name Terrapene triunguis (Three-toed box turtle). RNAcentral describes it as "Terrapene carolina triunguis (Three-toed box turtle) lncRNA (ENSTMTG00000004889.1)". Lineage: Eukaryota; Metazoa; Chordata; Testudines; Emydidae. The record is from RNAcentral.